This 585-nucleotide ribosomal RNA is filed under the name Bullera penniseticola. RNAcentral describes it as "LSU rRNA". It matches the Rfam family "Eukaryotic large subunit ribosomal RNA", at positions 56 to 625 of the family's 3401-position model. Lineage: Eukaryota; Fungi; Basidiomycota; Tremellomycetes; Tremellales; Bulleraceae. The record is from RNAcentral.
CUAAGUAACUAACAAGGAUUCCCCUAGUAACGGCGAGUGAACCGGGAAGAGCUCAAAUUUGAAAUCUGGCGUCCUUCGGGCGUCCGAGUUGUAAUCUAUAGAGAUGUUUUCCGUGCCGGACCGUGUCCAAGUCCCUUGGAACAGGGUAUCAAAGAGGGUGAUAAUCCCGUACUUGACACGAUGACCGGUGCCCUGUGAUACGUCUUCUACGAGUCGAGUUGUUUGGGAAUGCAGCUCAAAACGGGUGGUGAGUUCCAUCUAAAGCUAAAUAUUGGCGAGAGACCGAUAGCGAACAAGUACCGUGAGGGAAAGAUGAAAAGCACUUUGGAAAGAGAGUUAAACAGUACGUGAAAUUGUUGAAAGGGAAACGAUUGAAGUCAGUCGUGUCCGGGGGGUUCAGCCUGCUUCUGCUGGUGUAUUCCCCCUUGGAUGGGUCAACAUCAGUUUGGUCCGGCGGAUAAGGGUGAUGGGAAUGUAGCACCUCUCGGGGUGUGUUAUAGCCCGUUACCGCAUACGCUGGUCCAGACUGAGGACUGCAGCUCGCCUUUAUGGCAGGGGUUCGCCCACUCCGAGCUAGGAGUGACG